Non-coding RNA from Cyanistes caeruleus (blue tit), 360 nucleotides. NCBI's taxonomy places the organism in Eukaryota, Metazoa, Chordata, Aves, Passeriformes, Paridae. The record is from RefSeq and is a predicted model, not a curated record.
CAGGUGACCCCAGACCCCAUCAGGUGACCCCACCAGGUGACCCCAGACCCCAUCAGGUGACCCCACCAGGUGACCCCAUCAGGUGACCCCAGGUGACCCCACCAGGUGACCCCAUCAGGUGACCCCAGACCCCAUCAGGUGACCCCACCUGGUGACCCCAGCAGGUGACCCCAUCAGGUGACCCCAGCAGGUGACCCCAAACCCCAUCAGGUGACCCCAUCAGGUGACCCCAUCAGGUGACCCCACCAGGUGACCCCAGCAGGUGACCCCAUCAGGUGACCCCAUCAGGUGACCCCAGCAGGUGACCCCAAACCCCAUCAGGUGACCCCACCAGGUGACCCCAGCAGGUGACCCCCGCCG